This is a long non-coding RNA of Zalophus californianus (California sea lion), 1798 nucleotides long. RefSeq lists it as uncharacterized. The transcript is spliced from 4 exons. NCBI's taxonomy places the organism in Eukaryota, Metazoa, Chordata, Mammalia, Carnivora, Otariidae. The record is from RefSeq and is a predicted model, not a curated record.
GAACCACCACCCCCUGGGGCCACACCUUCCCAGGGCAGCCUGAGCUCACGCCCGCGCGUCUCCAUCUCUACCCAGCACUGUGUGCCUGCGUGCGCCUGGCAUGACUGCUCCUGCGUCUCUGGCAUUCGAGGAGGACAGAGAGAGCAGUCACCAUGAAGAAACCGAGGCACAGGGAGGUUGAGGAGUCAGACAGUCUGGCUCAGAGUCUGCAUCUUCGACCACGAUGGAUGCUGCCCCAUGUGGAACCUACGCCCGCUUCUUCCUGGGCAGCCACAGCAGGGAGGAGCAAAGGUCCUAUACUGUCCAGUAAGGUCAGACGGCGCCUAUGCCCCGCGUGAAGCCCCAUUCAGGUUUCUUGCAUCGUCAUAGGAGACAUCCUGAGAUGUUAGCAGCUUGUCAUUGAUCCAGAGAGUGAGCUGUGGACAGAAAGAGGGAGUCCAACAGUCUCUGAGUGGACCUCUUUGGCCAGGGGCUCAGGGCAGGACCUGCUGCCCACCUCUGGCUGCAGGAGGUGGCCCAGGGGAGGAAUACAGCAGAGUACUACUCUCCAAAACUCUGGGUCCCUAACUCUCAGCACAAGCAACUUCACCUGUCUUGUCUCAAGGCUAAAAUAUCAGCCCCUGAGUGUCUUCUCAUACACUCUAGCCAAGUGUAUGCAGUGUGACACCCAGGAUAUUUAUGCUUCUCUCCAUUUUUCCAGGACCUAGGACAGGGCCUGGCCUACUGUAGGACGUGUUUACUGGAUGGAUGGAUAAAUCCACCCUUUGCCAGUAGGGUGAGAAAUCAUUAAUAAACACAGAGAAAAUGUUAUCUGAGGAAGAAGCCAAGGGCAGAACCUGUAAUUAACAAUGAGGGAAGAACUCUGAUGAGCAUCCAAUGUUUCCAAGAUGAGCUGGCAGCACACCAAGCCUGGAUGGUGCCAAGGGCAGAGGCAGACGGAAACAAAGUUGUUUGGGCCGAGAGGAAAGGGGUAUGAGGAUGGGAGAGAGAAAGAAGUCAGAGAAAGUACCAUUCCACACAGAAGUACCACUCAUGGAGGGACUCUGGAGUGCAGGUUAAAAACCUUCCUCGCACAACUCAUCCCAGGCUGAACAAGGACCUUCUGAGUCAGCUCUCCAACUGGGAGGCUUGUCAAAAAUGCUGCUCUCUCUCUCUCUCUCUCACUCACCCCUUGAGGUUCUGAUUCCUCUGGGCCUGAGUGGGGCCCAGGACUUUGCAUUUCACAAGGGCCAGGACUGGCUCCAUAAUGUGCAGGGCCCAGCGUAAAAUGGAAAUGCUCAAAAUUAUUAAGAAUUUCAAGAUGGCAACCACAGAGCAUUAAACCAAGCAUGGGGCCCUAGAUGAAUGCACAGGCGGUAUGUCCUUGAGGCCAGCCUUGAUCAGGGCCCUAGGGGACUCUUUAUACAGAUAGCCCUCAGGCCACUCUUUGGGAAACCCUGCCAUGGAGUAGGCAAAUUAAAAUUUGUAGAUUUGGGGAAAAAAAUAAUAGAACCAAAGAUUCUAGAGGAUGACCUAAGCUAUCAAAUACCCAGAGUUCCCCUCAUGAAAUUCCAGACUCCCAACUUAGAAAAGAUCUCUGUGGACUUGUGUUCCCUUCCUUUCCCUUUCCCUUCCCUUUCCUUAUUUUUUUAGUAAUCUCUACACCCAACACAGUGCUCAAACCCAUGAUCCCGAGGUCAAGAGCUGCACACUCCUCUACCUGAGCCAGCCAGGUGUUCCCCCCAUACCCGUGAACUUUCUACCUCUAGGCCACUUUGCUCCUAGAAGGGAACCUCCUGCAAAGUGUCCUGCCUUGCUG